This 253-nucleotide ribosomal RNA is filed under the name uncultured bacterium. Its description in RNAcentral is "partial 16S ribosomal RNA". It matches the Rfam family "Bacterial small subunit ribosomal RNA", at positions 524 to 776 of the family's 1533-position model. The record is from RNAcentral.
UACGAAGGGGGCGAGCGUUGUUCGGAAUUACUGGGCGUAAAGGGCGCGUAGGCGGCCGAUCAAGUUAGAUGUGAAAGUCCUGGGCUUAACCUGGGGACUGCAUUUGAUACUGAUUGGCUUGAAUUCGGGAGAGGAUAGCGGAAUUCCCGGUGUAGAGGUGAAAUUCGUAGAUAUCGGGAGGAACACCGGUGGCGAAGGCGGCGACCUGGGUAGAUACUGACGCUGAGGUGCGAAAGCGUGGGGAGCAAACAGG